This 1254-nucleotide ribosomal RNA is filed under the name Latilactobacillus curvatus. RNAcentral describes it as "bacterial SSU rRNA". It matches the Rfam family "Bacterial small subunit ribosomal RNA", at positions 214 to 1460 of the family's 1533-position model. Lineage: Bacteria; Bacillati; Bacillota; Bacilli; Lactobacillales; Lactobacillaceae. The record is from RNAcentral.
AUCACUUUAGGAUGGACCCGCGGUGCAUUAGUUUAGUUGGUGAGGUAAAGGCUCACCAAGACCGUGAUGCAUAGCCGACCUGAGAGGGUAAUCGGCCACACUGGGACUGAGACACGGCCCAGACUCCUACGGGAGGCAGCAGUAGGGAAUCUUCCACAAUGGACGAAAGUCUGAUGGAGCAACGCCGCGUGAGUGAAGAAGGUUUUCGGAUCGUAAAWCUCUGUUGUUGGAGAAGAACGUAUUUGAUAGUAACUGAUCAGGUAGUGACGGUAUCCAACCAGAAAGCCACGGCUAAYUWCGUGCCAGCAGCCGCGGUAAUAYGUAGGUGGCAAGCGUUGUCCGGAUUUAUUGGGCGUAAAGCGAGCGCAGGCGGUUUCUUAAGUCUGAUGUGAAAGCCUUCGGCUCAACCGAAGAAGUGCAUCGGAAACUGGGAAACUUGAGUGCAGAAGAGGACAGUGGAACUCCAUGUGUAGCGGUGAAAUGCGUAGAUAUAUGGAAGAACACCAGUGGCGAAGGCGGCUGUCUGGUCUGUAACUGACGCUGAGGCUCGAAAGCAUGGGUAGCAAACAGGAUUAGAUACCCUGGUAGUCCAUGCCGUAAACGAUGAGUGCUAGGUGUUGGAGGGUUUCCGCCCUUCAGUGCCGCAGCUAACGCAUUAAGCACUCCGCCUGGGGAGUACGACCGCAAGGUUGAAACUCAAAGGAAUUGACGGGGGCCCGCACAAGCGGUGGAGCAUGUGGUUUAAUUCGAAGCAACGCGAAGAACCUUACCAGGUCUUGACAUCCUUUGACCACUCUAGAGAUAGAGCUUUCCCUUCGGGGACAAAGUGACAGGUGGUGCAUGGUUGUCGUCAGCUCGUGUCGUGAGAUGUUGGGUUAAGUCCCGCAACGAGCGCAACCCUUAUUACUAGUUGCCAGCAUUUAGUUGGGCACUCUAGUGAGACUGCCGGUGACAAACCGGAGGAAGGUGGGGACGACGUCAAAUCAUCAUGCCCCUUAUGACCUGGGCUACACACGUGCUACAAUGGAUGGUACAACGAGUCGCGAGACCGCGAGGUUUAGCUAAUCUCUUAAAACCAUUCUCAGUUCGGAUUGUAGGCUGCAACUCGCCUACAUGAAGCCGGAAUCGCUAGUAAUCGCGGAUCAGCAUGCCGCGGUGAAUACGUUCCCGGGCCUUGUACACACCGCCCGUCACACCAUGAGAGUUUGUAACACCCAAAGCCGGUGAGGUAACCUUCGGGAGCCAGCCGUCUAA